Molecule: ribosomal RNA, 372 nt
Filed under: uncultured Bicosoecida
Lineage: Eukaryota; Bigyra; Bicosoecida
Description: SSU rRNA
Rfam family: Eukaryotic small subunit ribosomal RNA
Source: RNAcentral
CCAGCUCCAAUAGCGUAUAUUAAAGUUGUUGCAGUUAAAAAGCUCGUAGUUGAAUUUCUGGGCCCGUGGCUUCGCCCGCGAAAGCGCGGCGCGGCCGCGGGACCAUCCUCGCUGGGAACCGUCGGCCUUCACUGGUCGGCGUGGACCAGCGUCCUUUACUGUGAAAAAAUUAGAGUGUUUAAAGCAGGCGUUCCGCUUGAAUACAUUAGCAUGGAAUAAUGAGAUAGGACUUCGGUGCUAUUUUGUUGGUUGCGUACCGAGGUAAUGAUUAAUAGGGACAGUUGGGGGUAUUCAUAUUUAACUGUCAGAGGUGAAAUUCUUGGAUUUGUUAAAGAUGAACCACUGCGAAAGCAUUUACCAAGGAUGUUUUCA